GGAAGAAUGAGUGUCCAGGGAGAGCUGAAACCAUGAGCUGAGGGAAUCCUGAUUAAUACAGUAUUGACAAGAAUAAAGGCUAAAUGAAGACAGAAAGAGAACCUGAAAGUUCAGGGUUGAAAAAGUGGACUAGAGAAGAAAUAAAUUGAAGCCUGGGAAGCCAAGACAUAAGGGAUAAGUACAGGAAUUGUGUAGGAGGAUACAGAAUGGACAGUGUGGAUUGACAAGGUCUAAGUGGGCACAGAGAAGUUCAACAGCAGUCUCAAGGUCAUCGUGGAGCUAUGAUUCAAAUCAAGAUGCUCUUCUGCAGAAUUUUUGAUCCUAACCAGUACUUUUUGGUCUGAUCACCACACUUAGUCUUCUGGUUAUUAUACUGCUAGAAUCCCAAAGCCUGGCUGUGUCCUAGGAAUAUACAAAUUAGCCAUUCUUGACCUUUCCAAAUACCAAAUGAAUUUUAACAAGAUUUUAUAUAAAACCGAC
This is a long non-coding RNA of Heterocephalus glaber (naked mole-rat), 480 nucleotides long. The record is from Ensembl. Lineage: Eukaryota; Metazoa; Chordata; Mammalia; Rodentia; Bathyergidae.